GUCAAUUUUGGCAAGAAUUCUUCAAGUUGCAAUGUGUAUCUCUUCAUUUGUCUACUGCCUACCACACGUAGUCCGAUGGCCAAAAAGAGGUAGUCAACAGGUCAUUAGAGACAUAUUUGAGGUGUAUGGUUGGUGAAAUGCCCAAUACAUGGUACCAAUGGUUAUCUUUAGCAGAAUUCUUGUAUAACACUUCUCAUCAUUCUGCUAUUCAAAUGUCUCCUUUACAGGCAUUAUAUGGCUUCCCACCUCCAAUUCAUAUUCCCUAUUUUCCAAAGGAUUCGAAUGUUGCUG
RNAcentral lists this unclassified non-coding RNA (291 nucleotides) under Hevea brasiliensis (rubber tree). Lineage: Eukaryota; Viridiplantae; Streptophyta; Magnoliopsida; Malpighiales; Euphorbiaceae. The record is from RNAcentral.